Ochotona curzoniae (black-lipped pika) is the source of this 596-nucleotide long non-coding RNA. RefSeq lists it as uncharacterized. The transcript is spliced from 3 exons. The record is from RefSeq and is a predicted model, not a curated record. Lineage: Eukaryota; Metazoa; Chordata; Mammalia; Lagomorpha; Ochotonidae.
GUGAGCAUUUUUAAAUGAAGUAAAAUCUUACUGACCUUGAAGGAGGAAAUUUCUUUUCCUUCUAAUUAUCCGUUGUGAGCAGAGAAUGCCUAGGGAGAAUCAAGGAGCCAGAUAUUUUUUUUUCUUCUUGUUUUUCAUGUGUCCAAUGAUAUGCAUUGCAGAGUACAUAUUUUGCGUUAUACCGAAAGGAGGCCACAGUGUACACUGUUAGCACCAAAUUUGACAAGAGCAGACAGGGCCUGCCCUUUGGUGGACAAGGACACAAUUCUGAAUCCUCUGAAUGAGGCAUUUUUAUCUUUUACUUUUCUUCCUAAACGUAGCAUUUGUCCUUACUGACUGUGGAAUGGUGCACCUUAGAGUAAAUGAAGAUGUCUCCUCUUUCUUCUUGCAAAAUGAAGAAAAUAUGUCUCAGACUAGUAGUAUUCAUGAUUCCUUUUGUGUAAGUUUUAGCUUUACUGAAAAAGGAAGAAAAAUCAUGGGCAUGAGCAGCUUCAGUGUUUGAGACAACUAUGAAACAGAUUGGGAAGAAAUUUUCCUACAUGAGAACUGCACCGUGUAUGACUUCAUGGGAUGAAGACCUUGGAUGGGAAAAUUAC